GAUGAACGCUGGCGGCGUGCUUAACACAUGCAAGUCGAACGAUGAAGCCCAGCUUGCUGGGUGGAUUAGUGGCGAACGGGUGAGUAACACGUGAGUAACCUGCCCUUAACUCUGGGAUAAGCCUGGGAAACUGGGUCUAAUACCGGAUAGGAGCGUCCACCGCAUGGUGGGUGUUGGAAAGAUUUAUCGGUUUUGGAUGGACUCGCGGCCUAUCAGCUUGUUGGUGAGGUAAUGGCUCACCAAGGCGACGACGGGUAGCCGGCCUGAGAGGGUGACCGGCCACACUGGGACUGUGACACGGCCCAGACUCCUACGGGAGGCAGCAGUGGGGAAGAUUGCACAAUGGGCGAAAGCCUGAUGCAGCGACGCCGCGUGAGGGAGGACGGCCUUCGGGUUGUAAACCUCUUUCAGUAGGGAAGAAGCGAAAGUGACGGUACCUGCAGAAGAAGCACCGGCUAACUACGU
Molecule: ribosomal RNA, 465 nt
Filed under: uncultured bacterium
Lineage: Bacteria
Description: partial 16S ribosomal RNA
Rfam family: Bacterial small subunit ribosomal RNA
Source: RNAcentral